Molecule: non-coding RNA, 93 nt
Organism: Acanthosepion pharaonis
Lineage: Eukaryota; Metazoa; Mollusca; Cephalopoda; Sepiida; Sepiidae
Source: the annotation of a GenBank genome assembly
UUACGGCCACAUCACGCUGAAAUACCGGUUCGCGUAUGAUCACUGAAGUUAAGCAACCUCGAGCCGGGUUAGUGCCUAGAUGGGUGAUCGCUA